UAAGACAGAGGCCUCGAGCGUUAGGCGGAAUCACUGGGCUUAAAGCGUGUGUAGGCGGAUCGUUAAGUGUCUUGUGAAAUCCCACGGCUCAACCGUGGAACUGCUGGGCAUACUGGCGAUCUUGGGCCACCUAGGGGCAGUCGGAACAAACGGUGGAGCGGUGAAAUGCGUAGAUAUCGUUUGGAACGCCGAUGGUGAAAACAGACUGCUGGGGGUGUGCCGACGCUGAGACACGAAAGCCAGGGGAGCAAACGGGAUUAGAUACCCCGGUAGUCCUGGCCCUAAACGAUGUCCACUAGAUCGCAGUGCCUCUGACGGUAUUGCGGUCGAAGCAAAAGUGCUAAGUGGACCGCCUGGGAAGUACGGUCGCAAGGCUA
RNAcentral lists this ribosomal RNA (377 nucleotides) under uncultured bacterium. RNAcentral describes it as "bacterial SSU rRNA". It matches the Rfam family "Bacterial small subunit ribosomal RNA", at positions 521 to 896 of the family's 1533-position model. The record is from RNAcentral.